RNAcentral lists this ribosomal RNA (499 nucleotides) under uncultured bacterium. RNAcentral describes it as "bacterial SSU rRNA". It matches the Rfam family "Bacterial small subunit ribosomal RNA", at positions 29 to 507 of the family's 1533-position model. The record is from RNAcentral.
ACGAACGCUGGCGGCGUGCCUAAUACAUGCAAGUCGAGCGGAAUGAUGAAGAAGCUUGCUUCUUCUGAUUUUAGCGGCGGACGGGUGAGUAACACGUGGGCAACCUACCUUGUAGAUUGGGAUAACUCCGGGAAACCGGGGCUAAUACCGAAUAAUCCAUUUUGCUUCAUGGCGAGAUGUUGAAAGACGGUUUCGGCUGUCACUAUAAGAUGGGCCCGCGGCGCAUUAGCUAGUUGGUAGGGUAAUGGCCUACCAAGGCGACGAUGCGUAGCCGACCUGAGAGGGUGAUCGGCCACACUGGGACUGAGACACGGCCCAGACUCCUACGGGAGGCAGCAGUAGGGAAUCUUCCACAAUGGACGAAAGUCUGAUGGAGCAACGCCGCGUGAGUGAAGAAGGUUUUCGGAUCAUAAAACUCUGUUGUAAGGGAAGAACACGUACGAGAGUAACUGCUCGUACCUUGACGGUACCUUAUUAGAAAGCCACGGCUAACUACGUG